RNAcentral lists this long non-coding RNA (1905 nucleotides) under Homo sapiens (human). RNAcentral's name for it is "non-protein coding lnc-FAM120AOS-3:4". Lineage: Eukaryota; Metazoa; Chordata; Mammalia; Primates; Hominidae. The record is from RNAcentral.
GGCCCGGAGUUGGGCCGGGACGGGAUCCGGGAGGCUUCUGAGCCGGAGCAGGCAGCGCCUGGAGGCCAGAGGCCGUUCGCCCGCCUCAGGCCGGUCGGCCGCCGCUCCCCUCCCCUGCGCCCUGUUCCCGGCAGGGCCAGAGAGGCCGCCGCCUCCGCCCGGUGGUUCUCGGGCGAAGGGAAGCCGCGAAGCAGGUCCUGGGGAAGAGCUCGCCUGCUCCUGAGGGAAGCAGCGAUAAGAUGGCGCUUUGAAGGGGAGCCGAGGCCGAGUCACUCUGUUCGUCGGGACGCCGCCUUUCUAACGCCGCCGUCGGCUCGCACCACUCUGGGCCUGCUGCCCACACUGACUGCGGGGUCCGGGAGAGCGGGAUGCUGGCCGGCCGCGCCUGGCUUCUUGGAAAGAGCAGGAAGGAGCGCGAGAAUGCAGUUCCGCGGCAGGUGCUCAUCCCAGCAGCUUCGGGCUCUCGGUUGUGGUUUUUACACCUAUGACAAAUGACAUGGCCAAACACACCAUAAUGUCUGAAGGUACAGGUAGCCCUAAGCGCCUGCUCGUCACGGAAGAGACUGUCUUGAGAGCACAGAAACCUCUGUAGAGGAGCAGGAUGCAACCGACAGGCUGUGGCCGGACAGCUGCUGCCCAGCACAUGGAGCCUGCACGCGCACGGUUUGGCCAAAGAAGCCCCCAUACUCCCGGUGAAAAAGAUUUCCAGAAGCUGUUCUGUCAAUAACAAAGUCUCAAAGAAAACCACAAAACCACCAACACUAAGAUCAUUCUUGAGUCCAAUUUGAAAAACUAGGGUCAAGUUCUGCAGAGGCAUUGAAAGGACAAGAAACCACCCUGAUACCCAUCGUGUGAGGGAAAAUGCUCUAUUCACCAUUCCUCAGCUUCUGCUUCUGGUUUCAGAGUUCUCUCUAUAUUGGAGGGUGUUUUAAAGCUAGAGUGGUCUUUAUCCACUUUUAUUAACACAUCUGAAUGUGAAGGUCAAGAGAGGAAAGUGAUAUGUCCUAAGUCAGAGUAGAGUCAACAAGAAAAUAAGACAAACAGCGACUGAGCCCCUGGUGUAUACUGGGCAUUGGCCAGCUACUGGGGAUAUGGAGAUGAAGAAAACAUAACCCUUCUUCAAGGAGCCCAACCUACCAAGGUAGACAGACAUAUAGACAAAUAGAUACUUGCAUAGAAAAAAAGAGGAAAAGGGGAUCAGUGUGACCUGUGUAACUAAGUACCCUAUAAACCCUCCUGCAACAGAUCAUAUUGCCCUUUAUAGUGGGGAUGGUAAUCCCAUCUGAAUUCCACAGGUACUUUGCAGUCAUACCACACCCAUGUGUCUGUCGGUCCUGACUGUACCAUUUAUAAACAGCUUCACUUUCAGCAGUUCUCAGCCCUCUUAAGCUAGGGUCAUUGUCAGUAGGGAUACUGCUUCAUAAGCACCAGCAGAACACCAAAGGAGACCAUAUGGGUGAAAGCAACCAGCACUGCCCUGGCGCUUCAUAGGUUCUUAGAGUUUUUAUCUUUUACUUUCAGUCUAACACAGCACUGCCUGCUUUUUGUUUUUGUUGCUUGGUUUGUUUUUUUCUUACCGUGUUCACCAAACUUGUGUCCAAAUAGCUUUGGGCUGAUGCAAAAAUAUCUAUGUGGAAGAGAAGAGUUGUUCUCAUGGAGGGCCUUCAGAUGAGUGCUAUAGACUCUCUAGGCAACUCCAAGAGGCUUCUCAAGCAGGGUGGGCAGUGAGAGCUGCUAUGGAAUCAAUGGACAAACUGACAGGGACUGCUUUGAAAGACAGUACUCAGUUGAGUAUAUAUAUUCUCUCUUAAGGGCUAAAAGUUUAUAAUCAUCCCUUAAACACUCUGUGAUGGGAUCUUCAGGAUCAUCUUUUGAAGUAAACUAUAUUUUACAAUGUGAUAUAAA